This 468-nucleotide ribosomal RNA is filed under the name uncultured bacterium. RNAcentral describes it as "partial 16S ribosomal RNA". It matches the Rfam family "Bacterial small subunit ribosomal RNA", at positions 28 to 507 of the family's 1533-position model. The record is from RNAcentral.
GACGAACGCUGGCGGCGUGCUUAACGCAUGCAAGUCGAACGGAAAGGCCCUGCUUUUGUGUGGUGCUCGAGUGGCGAACGGGUGAGUAACCCGUGAGUAACCUUCCCUUGACUUUGGGAUAACUUCAGGAAACUGGGGCUACUACCGGCUAGGAGCUCCUGCUGCAUGGUGGUGGUUGGACCGCAUCGGCGGAUGGGGAUGGACGGGCGGCUUACCGGCUUGUUGGUUGGGUAGUUGCAUACCCAGCCAUUGAUGGGUAGCCGGCCUGAGAGGGUAAACGGGGUCAAGGGGACUGAGAGACGGCCCAGACGGCAACGGGAGGCAGCGGGCGAGAGUAUGGCACAAUGGGCGGAAGUGUGAGGCGACAAUCUCGCGUGCGGGAAGACGGCCUUCGGGGGGGAAACCGCUGUCGCCUGAGACGAAGCGGGAGUGACGGUAAUGGGUGAAGAAGCACCGGCUAACUACGUG